AUAGGCAAGUAAUUUAGAACAAGUUCUGUCCCCAUGCUCUGAGACGUACACGAAAUACAUUGGAUGACACAAUUCAUACGAGACGAGCACGUGUCCUCAAGUCCUUGUGAAUCUACUUGAACGAAAACCACGAGAAACUUGUCAAGGAUUAUAUGAACACAGACCUCGAGGCCAGUGCUUUCAUGGAGCAAAAAUGAUGGGUGUAUGAAGGAGGGCGCGGAGCCUGAAGAUAACCCAGCAUCGGUGUCCUGAUCGAAGGUGUGAAGGUCCUUGGGGAGUUAGGAAACAUUGGGGACACCUGUGCUUUCUUAUUUGGACCUUUUAUCCUGUCUGAACCGGAGUUACCCGGCAGACCUCUACUACUAUGCGGAUUGUUUUUUUGUUUUUCUUCCUAGUUUUCACAAGGACUUUUAGUUUGCUCAAAUGGACACAGACUGUAAAAACGUGAAGCUACACACCAGACGUCAAAUGCACUUUUGAAGUGAUGCAGAAGAUUCUCAGGAAUCUGGAUGGGCAGAGCUCGUCGUCCAAAGCACAAUUCCCAAAAAACAAGCUCAUGGAGCCAAUGUGCUUAAUGUAAGAAGUCUACAAGGCAAUUUUUUUUGUUGUCCUAGUUUGACAAGGACUUUUAGUUAACAAGUUAAAAAAAUCUUUUAACAGGUUUAAGAUAUUUCUACUGAUGCAAAAAAU
Long non-coding RNA from Perca fluviatilis (European perch), 690 nucleotides. RefSeq lists it as uncharacterized. Lineage: Eukaryota; Metazoa; Chordata; Actinopteri; Perciformes; Percidae. The transcript is spliced from 3 exons. The record is from RefSeq and is a predicted model, not a curated record.